GAUGAAGAACGCAGCGAAAUGCGAUAAGUAAUGUGAAUUGCAGAAUUCAGUGAAUCAUCGAAUCUUUGAACGCACCUUGCGCCCCUUGGUAUUCCGAGGGGCAUGCCUGUUCGAGCGUCAUUGUAACCCUCAAGCUCAGCUUGGUGUUGGGGCCUGCUGCACUGGCAGCCCUUAAAAUCAGUGGCGGCGCCAUCUGGCUCUAAGCGUAGUAAUUCUUCUCGCUAUGGAGUCCUGGUGGAUGCUUGCCAUCAACCCCCAAUUUUUCUAUGGUUGACCUCGGAUCAGGUAGGGAUACCCGCUGAACUUAAGCAUAUCAAUAAGCGGAGGA
Molecule: unclassified non-coding RNA, 328 nt
Filed under: soil metagenome
Description: partial contains 5.8S ribosomal RNA, internal transcribed spacer 2, and large subunit ribosomal RNA
Rfam family: 5.8S ribosomal RNA (bases 1-120)
Source: RNAcentral